GACGAACGCUGGGCGGCAUGCCUAAUACAUGCAAGUCGAACGCUUUAACGUUCACCGGGUGCUUGCACCCAUAGAAGUUAAGGAGUGGCGGACGGGUGAGUAACACGUGGGUAACCUGCCCAUAAGAGGGGGAUAACAUUCGGAAACGGAUGCUAAUACCGCAUAUUACUAAUCGUCUCCUGACGAAUGGAAGAAAGGUGGCUUCGGCUACCGCUUAUGGAUGGACCCGCGGCGUAUUAGCUAGUUGGUAAGGUAACGGCUUACCAAGGCAAUGAUGCAUAGCCGAGUUGAGAGACUGAUCGGCCACAUUGGGACUGAGACACGGCCCAA
Molecule: ribosomal RNA, 330 nt
Filed under: uncultured bacterium
Lineage: Bacteria
Description: bacterial SSU rRNA
Rfam family: Bacterial small subunit ribosomal RNA
Source: RNAcentral